GCAAGUCUGGUGCCAGCAGCCGCGGUAAUUCCAGCUCCAAUAGCGUAUAUUAAAGUUGUUGCAGUUAAAAAGCUCGUAGUUGAAUUUCGGGAUCAAUAUUUCGGUCAUGCCGUUGGUAUGCACUGUUAUCAUUGAUUUCUCACCUUCUAAAGAACCAUAAUGCCAUUAAUUUGGUGUUACGGGGAAUUAGGACUGUUACCUUGAAAAAAUUAGAGUGUUUAAAGCAGGCUCACGCUUGAAUACAUUAGCAUGGAAUAAUGAAAUAGGACAUCCGAUUCUAUUUUGUUGGUUUCUAGGAUCGAUGUAAUGAUUAAUAGGGAUAGUUGGGGGCAUUAGUAUUCAAUUGUCAGAGGUGAAAUUCUUGGAUUUAUUGAAGACUAACUACUGCGAAAGCAUUUGCCAAGGAUGUAUUCAUUAAUCAAGAACGAAAGUUAGGGGAUCGAAGACGAUCAGAUACCGUCGUAGUCUUAACCAUAAACUAUGCCGACUAGGGAUCGGAUGAUGUUAAUUUUUUAAUGACUCAUUCGGCGCCUUACGGGAAAC
Molecule: ribosomal RNA, 543 nt
Filed under: uncultured Glomeromycotina
Lineage: Eukaryota; Fungi; Glomeromycota
Description: SSU rRNA
Rfam family: Eukaryotic small subunit ribosomal RNA
Source: RNAcentral